UUUGAUCUCAAAUCAGGUAGGACUACCCGCUGAACUUAAGCAUAUCAAUA
RNAcentral lists this ribosomal RNA (50 nucleotides) under uncultured Tomentella. Its description in RNAcentral is "partial 28S ribosomal RNA". The record is from RNAcentral. Lineage: Eukaryota; Fungi; Basidiomycota; Agaricomycetes; Thelephorales; Thelephoraceae.